AGAAAAAUGAAAUUAUUCAGCUAACUCUUUAAAUACCUAUUUAAUUCUCUUGGAACUCUAAUUUCAACUCAUUUUCAUCAUAGAUAAUCAUUUCAUACAAUCCCCCCUUGCUUUCACAACAGAGUCAACGGAAAAUGACUCCAAGUGAAAGCAGAACCAUUACAGGACGGACAUGAAAAAGAAAAUUGAUAGAUGGGAGGAAUCUAACAUGCACUCACGAAAAAGUCGCAAACUGAAAAUCUAAGAAAAACACCCCAAAAAAAUAUAAAAAAAACAACUGUACCACACGGUCGCUUGUGUGAAGGAAGCAUAUUGAAACAACUCCCAAAUUAGCAUUUCAAAAUUAGCCUGUCCACAGGCAACGGCCAAACCAAGGUGAAACAAAACAAGCAUCAUGACUCAAUUUACCUCCUGAAGUCUAGGGAAUUCUCUCAACUUAGAUGUAUGUCUAUGUUCCUCAAAAUAGUGGCAGUCAACCAAAAUCGCUACUUAGCAACAGUAGGGGAAAAAAAUGCUCAAAGUCCCUAAAAUCAAGGAACAAUCAGUGAGUGAUCCCCAUGAUACCCCAGUCUAGAUCUCCAAAUACAGCCACAUCAAUGGUUGUGGUUCUUGGGGGAGGCCUACUCUUUCGGCUUUUGCCUUUGUGCUGAAAUUGCGAAAUUGAACUUUGCCUUCUAGUUGUUGUGCUGGUGGCUGGCACACGUGGGAGUGUUAGUCUGCUAACUUAGCAGUUUUUCUUAGAUUUUCAGUUUGCGACUUUUUCGUGAGUGCAUGUUAGAUUCCUCCCAUCUAUCAAUUUUCUUUUUCAUGUCCGUCCUGCAAUGAAUGCGUUCACCCAAACAGACACCAAACAAGACAAAACAUUGCGAUUACAAAACUUCCAAGUUAACACCAACCUCGGUAAAUCAAGGAAUACACAAUGCAGCCAAUCGGAUCCCUCGUGCACAGGGAAUACCAAAACGGACAAAUGAAUUUACUAGGUCGACCACAAACAGAUAUCGACAAAAGCCUGUGACCUGGGCCACAACCACAGACAGAACAACACAAUUGGCGCGUGCAUAUACAACUUCAUUGGCACAACUACUAAUUUAAACCAAUUUAGGCAAUUUACAGGAGCAUCCCUACUCCCUCCUACCGUCUCUGAUAUUUUAAGGAUGAGGUCCAACCUCAACUGCAUAUUUAAGUCCAACCUAAAUUGAAGAUUUUCCAGCAGUCCAACUUCCGCAGUCCAACUGCUUAAUAUCCUGCACGAAAUCGCCCCGCAAUAGGUUAGCUGCAUGGGAAUGGUCGUCAGGACAUGGAACAAAACGAUAUUCUUCUAACUACAGGCGCUAUAACUAAAAUACCCGAAAACAUUUCCAUAACACAGCGUAAGACCUUGGGCCUGAGACAGGCGGGUCCAGUGACACUGUGGCCCUAUCCAGGGGAGGCCCUGUACAAGGCCACACAGGCAGGAAGUCAAUCCACCCACAUUGCCAAGCAUCAACCAAAGGGACACCAACCAACCGCAACCACCCUGAAAUGAGGGCCGAAUAUUGCCUGCAGAGUUCACUCCAAUUUUCACAAUGUUUUUUUUACCUCUUUUGGGGGGGGGGGCAAGUCUUAAUUAGGGUGGUCAAACCCCCCAAUCCCGAUUCGAAACCCUGCUUAUUGGUGCUCUUUAUUAAGAGUGUGGUUCUCGUCUUAGGGAAGUGAACAUAGACAUGCCUCCUAGUCUGCCAUGGGGGCUGCAGUGAGGUGGGAGGUAUGAUAUCCUUAGGGGUGUUUAUGGGGUCUUCCCAAUAUAAACUGGGAGGUAUGAUAUCCUUAGGGGUGUUUCUGGGCUCUUCUGAAUAUAAACUGGGAGGUAUGAUAUCCUUAGGGGGGUUUCUGGGCUCUUCUGAAUAUAAACUGGGAGGGUUCGUUGGGCAAGGUGCCAGCUAAGCUAAGUCGAAAUGUCCGUGUUUGUUGCCACUAAUGUCUUAUGGGGGUAGAGUGUGAGGCAUUAAUAACAUGUCUGCCUCUACUCUCUCUGGCAGUGGCAGACAUUCGUGGUGUUGGAGCUCCCGGUCUGGCUGCUACUGGAGACACGAAGGCGUUUCCUUGACUUCAUCGGGUCUGGACACCGCUGGGUACGAGCUCCAAUGCUGUGACUAGUUCAAGUUCAAAUGUUUAUUUGUAAUUUGCAAGAACAAGUUACUGCAAUGAAAUGCUUGGUUUUCCUACUCCCGACAGUGCAGUUAAAAGUUGAAAAGUAGCAGUAAUUAUAAUUUUUUUAAAUAAGAAGAUAACACAAUCAAUCAGUAAUAACACUAUACAAAGAUAUGCAUCAAUAAUAAUAAAUAUACAACUAUACAACCGUAGUGCAAUGUAAAAGUGACAGGUGUGCAUGAUAUAAAGUGACAGGUGUGCAUGAUAUAAAGUGACAGGUGUGCAUGAUAUAAAGUGACAGGUGUGCAUGAUAUAAAGUGACAGGUGUACAUGAUAUAAAGUGACAGGUGUGCAUGAUAUAAAGUGACAAGUGUGCAUUAUAUAAAGUGACAGGUGUGCAUGAACUAUGGAUGGAAGGGAAGAGGGGAGCCAACUACCUGGUCAACAGGGGGGCCAAGGACCAUGGGACGUACAGAGGGCCUUGCUGUAGAGCCCAGGGGGUCUGGACUGUGACAGACAGCUGUUUGUAUACAAGCGGGAAUGGGUGGAUGGUACGGCACAACCUCUGUUCUGGAAAACACUGGAGCUUCUUAACCGUUUAUUCUGGGGGGAAAAGAGAAGAGAGAAAAUACUAUAAAGCUCAAAACAAGAAUAUUAUUACAGAAUGUUGUACUCAACCCACAUAUUGUUUUAUGUUGCUGGACUGAAUGUAAUAAGAGAGAGACUAUGAAAGUUAACUAAUACCACCUCAUGGUGUUAUUUUCUGCCCAGGAUAAAAGAUAAUAAGAGAUCCAGCACAAUUGGGUCCAUGCCUUCAGGUUGCCUUGAAAAUAAAUUAGAACCAGAGGGUAACAUCAGCUUAGAAAAUAUAUUGUUCAAG
Long non-coding RNA from Esox lucius (northern pike), 3010 nucleotides. Lineage: Eukaryota; Metazoa; Chordata; Actinopteri; Esociformes; Esocidae. The record is from Ensembl.